RNAcentral lists this ribosomal RNA (439 nucleotides) under uncultured bacterium. RNAcentral describes it as "partial 16S ribosomal RNA". It matches the Rfam family "Bacterial small subunit ribosomal RNA", at positions 339 to 795 of the family's 1533-position model. The record is from RNAcentral.
CUACGGGCUGCUGCAGUGAGGAAUAUUGCACAAUGGGGGGAACCCUGAUGCAGCAACGCCGCGUGGAGGAUGACGCAUUUCGGUGUGUAAACUCCUUUUAUAUGUCAAGAAAAUGACGGUAGCACAUGAAUAAGCACCGGCUAACUCCGUGCCAGCAGCCGCGGUAAUACGGAGGGUGCAAGCGUUACUCGGAAUCACUGGGCGUAAAGGACGCGUAGGCGGGAUAUCAAGUCAGGUGUGAAAUCCUACAGCUUAACUGUAGAACUGCACUUGAAACUGGUAACCUAGAGUAUGGGAGGGGGAGAUGGAAUUAGUGGUGUAGGGGUAAAAUCCGUAGAUAUCACUAGGAAUACCUAAAGCGAAGGCGAUCUCCUGGAACAUAACUGACGCUAAGGCGUGAAAGCGUGGGGAGCAAACAGGAUUAGAUACCCCGGUAGUC